GACAUCGAUUUCCAUGGUUUUGAGUGAGACGAAAAUCUGUUAGAAAUGUAGUACCAAAUAGUGGGGAAAUAACAGAAAUAGAGAAUCAGAACCUUCAGAGACUUUCGGCUAAUCCAUUGAACUGGACUGUCGAUGAAGUAAUAAACUACAUUGUUAUUAUGGACCCAGAUUUGGGUCGGGAUAUGCAUUUAUUUAAAAAACACAGAAUUAAUGGCAAGAGUCUAUUUUAUCUUAAUACCGAUAUAAUGACAAAAAAUAUGGAAUUAAGAUGUGGCCCAGCCGUAAAAAUUAAUAACAAAGUAAUACAAUUGUAACUAAUUUCUCCGUCACAUUUUUUAUUUUUUAAAUCAAUCUGUUCAUAAAUAUAGAAUAAUUGAUCUAACCUCAGAUGCAAAUAUAAACAAUAUUGAAGGAACAAAAAAAGCAUCAUCCAAAGUAACAAAUAGAAUAGGUGCUUUUAAUGAUAAUUAUUAAUGGUAUUAUUAAUUAUAUUUAAACGGAUUUAAUAAUAUUAGUACUUUUUAUUUUACAGAGAAUCAGAACCGUUCGAAUCCAUUAAACUGGACAGUCAACGACGUGAUAAACUUUAUUAGUACGGAUAAUACGGACCCAGAGUUAAGUCAGGAGAUAUACCUAUUUAGAAACCACCGUAUUGAUGGAAAGGCUCUACUUUUAUUAAAUACUAAAAUAAUGACAAGAAAUAUGAAAUUAAAAUGUGGCCCAAGUUUAAAAAUAAAUUUUAUGAUGAAACGUUUAAAAAGAGAGAGCGGACUUUACAAUGAUUAUGAAGACUAGAACCAGGACAUCGAUUUCCAUGGUUUUGAGUGAGACGAAAAUCUGUUAGAAAUGUAGUACCAAAUAGUGGGGAAAUAACAGAAAUAGGUACUCUUAAUGAUAAUUAUUAUUGGUAUUAUUAAUUACAUUUAAACGAAUUUAAUGAUAUUCUUCUCUUAUUUUUCAGAGAAUCAGAACCUUCAGAGACUUUCGGCUAAUCCAUUGAACUGGACUGUCGAUGAAGUAAUAAACUACAUUGUUAUUAUGGACCCAGAUUUGGGUCGGGAUAUGCAUUUAUUUAAAAAACACAGAAUUAAUGGCAAGAGUCUAUUUUAUCUUAAUACCGAUAUAAUGACAAAAAAUAUGGAAUUAAGAUGUGGCCCAGCCGUAAAACUUAAUAACAAAGUAAUACAAUUGUAACUAAUUUCUCCGUCACAUUUUUUAUUUUUUAAAUCAAUCUGUUCAUAAAUAUAGAAUAAUUGAUCUAACCUCAGAUGCAGAUAUAAACAAUAUUGAAGGAACAAAAAAAGCAUCAUCCAAAGUAACAAAUAGAAUAGGUGCUUUUAAUGAUAAUUAUUAAUGGUAUUAUUAAUUAUAUUUAAACGGAUUUAAUAAUAUUAGUACUUUUUAUUUUACAGAGAAUCAGAACCGUUCGAAUCCAUUAAACUGGACAGUCAACGACGUGAUAAACUUUAUUAGUACGGAUAAUACGGACCCAGAGUUAAGUCAGGAGAUAUACCUAUUUAGAAAACACCGUAUUGAUGGAAAGGCUCUACUUCUAUUAAAUUUUAAAAUAAUGACAAAAACUAUGAAACUAAAAUAUGGCCCGAGCUUAAAAAUAAAUUUGAUGAUAAACAAUUUAAAAAGAGAAAGCGGACUUUAUGAUUAUGGAGACUAGAACCAAGAGAUUUCCAUGGUUUUGAGUGAGACGAAAAUCUGUUAGAAAUGUAGUACCAAAUAGUGGGGAAAUAACAGAAAUAGGUACUCUUAAUGAUAAUUAUUAUUGGUAUUAUUAAUUACAUUUAAACGAAUUUAAUGAUAUUCUUCUCUUAUUUUUUAGAGAAUCAGAACCUUCAGAGACUUUCGGCUAAUCCAUUGAACUGGACUGUCGAUAAAGUAAUAAACUACAUUGUUAUUAUGGACCCAGAUAUGGGUCGGGAUAUGCAUUUAUUUAAAAAACACAGAAUUAAUGGCAAGAGUCUAUUUUAUCUUAAUACCGAUAUAAUGACAAAAAAUAUGGAAUUAAGAUGUGGCCCAGCCGUAAAACUUAAUAACAAAGUAAUACAAUUGUAACUAAUUUCUCCGUCACAUUUUUUAUUUUUUAAAUCAAUCUGUUCAUAAAUAUAGAAUAAUUGAUCUAACCUCAGAUGCAGAUAUAAACAAUAUUGAAGGAACAAAAAAAGCAUCAUCCAAAGUAACAAAAAGAAUAGGUGCUUUUAAUGAUAAUUAUUAAUGGUAUUAUUAAUUAUAUUUAAACGGAUUUAAUAAUAUUAGUACUUUUUAUUUUACAGAGAAUCAGAACCGUUCGAAUCCAUUAAACUGGACAGUCAACGACGUGAUAAACUUUAUUAGUACGGAUAAUACGGACCCAGAGUUAAGUCAGGAGAUAUACCUAUUUAGAAAACACCGUAUUGAUGGAAAGGCUCUACUUCUAUUAAAUUUUAAAAUAAUGACAAAAACUAUGAAACUAAAAUAUGGCCCGAGCUUAAAAAUAAAUUUGAUGAUAAACAAUUUAAAAAGAGAAAGCGGACUUUAUGAUUAUGGAGACUAGAACCAAGAGAUUUCCAUGGUUUUGAGUGAGACGAAAAUCUGUUAGAAAUGUAGUACCAAAUAGUGGGGAAAUAACAGAAAUAGGUACUCUUAAUGAUAAUUAUUAUUGGUAUUAUUAAUUACAUUUAAACGAAUUUAAUGAUAUUCUUCUCUUAUUUUUCAGAGAAUCAGAACCUUCAGAGACUUUCGGCUAAUCCAUUGAACUGGACUGUCGAUGAAGUAAUAAACUACAUUGUUAUUAUGGACCCAGAUUUGGGUCGGGAUAUGCAUUUAUUUAAAAAACACAGAAUUAAUGGCAAGAGUCUAUUUUAUCUUAAUACCGAUAUAAUGACAAAAAAUAUGGAAUUAAGAUGUGGCCCAGCCGUAAAACUUAAUAACAAAGUAAUACAAUUGUAACUAAUUUCUCCGUCACAUUUUUUAUUUUUUAAAUCAAUCUGUUCAUAAAUAUAGAAUAAUUGAUCUAACCUCAGAUGCAGAUAUAAACAAUAUUAAAGGAACAAAAAAAGCAUCAUCCAAAGUAACAAAAAGAAUAGAGAAUUAGAACCGUUCGAAUCCAUUAAACUGGACAGUCAACGACGUGAUAAACUUUAUUAGUACGGAUAAUACGGACCCAGAGUUAAGUCAGGAGAUAUACCUAUUUAGAAAACACCGUAUUGAUGGAAAGGCUCUACUUCUAUUAAAUUUUAAAAUAAUGACAAAAACUAUGAAACUAAAAUAUGGCCCGAGCUUAAAAAUAAAUUUGAUGAUAAACAAUUUAAAAAGAGAAAGCGGACUUUAUGAUUAUGGAGACUAGAACCAAGAGAUUUCCAUGGUUUUGAGUGAGACGAAAAUCUGUUAGAAAUGUAGUACCAAAUAGUGGGGAGAUAACAGAAAUAGGUACUCUUAAUGAUAAUUAUUAUUGGUAUUAUUAAUUACAUUUAAACGAAUUUAAUGAUAUUCUUCUCUUAUUUUUCAGAGAAUCAGAACCUUCAGAGACUUUCGGCUAAUCCAUUGAACUGGACUGUCGAUAAAGUAAUAAACUACAUUGUUAUUAUGGACCCAGAUAUGGGUCGGGAUAUGCAUUUAUUUAAAAAACACAGAAUUAAUGGCAAGAGUCUAUUUUAUCUUAAUACCGAUAUAAUGACAAAAAAUAUGGAAUUAAGAUGUGGCCCAGCCGUAAAACUUAAUAACAAAGUAAUACAAUUGUAACUAAUUUCUCCGUCACAUUUUUUAUUUUUUAAAUCAAUCUGUUCAUAAAUAUAGAAUAAUUGAUCUAACCUCAGAUGCAGAUAUAAACAAUAUUGAAGGAACAAAAAAAGCAUCAUCCAAAGUAACAAAAAGAAUAGGUGCUUUUAAUGAUAAUUAUUAAUGGUAUUAUUAAUUAUAUUUAAACGGAUUUAAUAAUAUUAGUACUUUUUAUUUUACAGAGAAUCAGAACCGUUCGAAUCCAUUAAACUGGACAGUCAACGACGUGAUAAACUUUAUUAGUACGGAUAAUACGGACCCAGAGUUAAGUCAGGAGAUAUACCUAUUUAGAAAACACCGUAUUGAUGGAAAGGCUCUACUUCUAUUAAAUUUUAAAAUAAUGACAAAAACUAUGAAACUAAAAUAUGGCCCGAGCUUAAAAAUAAAUUUGAUGAUAAACAAUUUAAAAAGAGAAAGCGGACUUUAUGAUUAUGGAGACUAGAACCAAGAGAUUUCCAUGGUUUUGAGUGAGACGAAAAUCUGUUAGAAAUGUAGUACCAAAUAGUGGGGAAAUAACAGAAAUAGGUACUCUUAAUGAUAAUUAUUAUUGGUAUUAUUAAUUACAUUUAAACGAAUUUAAUGAUAUUCUUCUCUUAUUUUUCAGAGAAUCAGAACCUUCAGAGACUUUCGGCUAAUCCAUUGAACUGGACUGUCGAUGAAGUAAUAAACUACAUUGUUAUUAUGGACCCAGAUUUGGGUCGGGAUAUGCAUUUAUUUAAAAAACACAGAAUUAAUGGCAAGAGUCUAUUUUAUCUUAAUACCGAUAUAAUGACAAAAAAUAUGGAAUUAAGAUGUGGCCCAGCCGUAAAACUUAAUAACAAAGUAAUACAAUUGUAACUAAUUUCUCCGUCACAUUUUUUAUUUUUUAAAUCAAUCUGUUCAUAAAUAUAGAAUAAUUGAUCUAACCUCAGAUGCAGAUAUAAACAAUAUUGAAGGAACAAAAAAAGCAUCAUCCAAAGUAACAAAUAGAAUAGGUGCUUUUAAUGAUAAUUAUUAAUGGUAUUAUUAAUUAUAUUUAAACGGAUUUAAUAAUAUUAGUACUUUUUAUUUUACAGAGAAUCAGAACCGUUCGAAUCCAUUAAACUGGACAGUCAACGACGUGAUAAACUUUAUUAGUACGGAUAAUACGGACCCAGAGUUAAGUCAGGAGAUAUACCUAUUUAGAAAACACCGUAUUGAUGGAAAGGCUCUACUUCUAUUAAAUUCUAAAAUAAUGACAAGAAACUAUGAAACUAAAAUAUGGCCCAAGCUUAAAAAUAAAUUUGAUGAUGAAAC
Molecule: long non-coding RNA, 5043 nt
Organism: Monomorium pharaonis (pharaoh ant)
Lineage: Eukaryota; Metazoa; Arthropoda; Insecta; Hymenoptera; Formicidae
Exons: 3
Source: RefSeq, a predicted model, not a curated record